RNAcentral lists this ribosomal RNA (253 nucleotides) under uncultured bacterium. Its description in RNAcentral is "partial 16S ribosomal RNA". It matches the Rfam family "Bacterial small subunit ribosomal RNA", at positions 524 to 776 of the family's 1533-position model. The record is from RNAcentral.
UACGUAGGGUCCGAGCGUUGUCCGGAAUUAUUGGGCGUAAAGGGCUCGUAGGCGGUUCGUCACGUCGGGAGUGAAAACUCGGAGCUUAACUCCGAGCCUGCUUCCGAUACGGGCAGACUAGAGGUAGGCAGGGGAGAGCGGAACUCCUGGUGUAGCGGUGGAAUGCGCAGAUAUCAGGAAGAACACCGGUGGCGAAGGCGGCUCUCUGGGCCUUACCUGACGCUGAGGAGCGAAAGCCAGGGGAGCAAACGGG